GUUCUGGCAGUCAGUCUAAGGUUGAUAUUUACUUCUCUCACAAUUUUCCAGUAUGAAUGUGGUGAAAGGUUCUUCCUUCUUCCAGACUUGGGAAGAGUUUAACAGUGCCAUAGUCCUGUACUUUUUGAUAAUUGACAUAAUGGUUGAAAUUGGAAUUAGCAUCUGUUUGAAGAUUUCUUGUAGCCAUUUCCAGCAUUAUAAAAGGUUGAUAAGUUUGUUCCUGAGAAAUUCCUUUGCCCAUACUGACUAUUAUUGCAUACUAAAUACAGAAGGAAUAUAGUUAUUUUUAUACCUUCUUAUUAUUUCUAGAAUCUUGCAGAGAGCUCUU
RNAcentral lists this long non-coding RNA (328 nucleotides) under Androctonus crassicauda. Lineage: Eukaryota; Metazoa; Arthropoda; Arachnida; Scorpiones; Buthidae. The record is from RNAcentral.